This 248-nucleotide ribosomal RNA is filed under the name uncultured bacterium. RNAcentral describes it as "partial 16S ribosomal RNA". It matches the Rfam family "Bacterial small subunit ribosomal RNA", at positions 88 to 334 of the family's 1533-position model. The record is from RNAcentral.
CGAAGGAGUGGCGAACGGGUGAGUAAUACAUAAGCAACCUACCCACGAAGACUGGGAUAAUCUCUGGAAACGGGGACUAAUACCGGAUAGGUAAUCGGAAGGCAUCUUCUGGUUAUUAAAGGUUAAAAACACUGGUGGAUGGGCUUAUGGCGCAUUAGUUAGUCGGUGAGGUAACGGCCCACCAAGACGAUGAUGCGUAGCCGGCCUGAGAGGGUGAACGGCCACAUUGGGACUGAGACACGGCCCAG